GGAGUUUGGGAAGUAAAUGAGAUGAACCUUCGCGGUGCGCCUGUGCAGUGGGAUUAGUUUGUUUUCAUGUUGGUUGCCUAGAGAGGUAGUGAAGUUUCCGUCGCUGAACCGUAUGGGCACAGAGUUGAGCCAUGUGCUCUAGGCCGACCCUGUUUAAGCAGGGAGGUUGGACCGGAUAACCCACUGUUGCCCCUUCCAACCGGACCGAUUCUGGGAUUCUGUGUCCUUUUCCCACCCUAGAAGACGCCGUCGCAGCCGAUCUAGAAGCAGGAGCCGCUCUAGGUCCCGCAGUCGGUCCCGCUACAGUCGAUCCAAAUCCCGGUCUCGCACACGCUCUCGGUCUCGGUCCACCUCCAAGUCCAGGUCUGCCAGGAGGUCCAAGUCAAAGUCCUCAUCUGUCUCCAGAUCCCGGUCCAGGUCAAGAUCCCGGUCCAGGUCUAGAAGCCCUCCCCCUGCCUCAAAGAGGGAAUCCAACUCUAGAUCCAGGUCUAAGAGCCCUCCCAAGUCUCCGGAAGAAGAAGGAGCUGUAUCCUCCUAGGAACAUGGUAAUGUACCUCGGGAUCAGCACAGGAUGCAUGUUACUUUAUUAGAGCACUUAGGUGGGGUGUUGGGUAGUUCUUGGAACAUUAAUAGCCUGAACCAAGUGAAUCCUAGUGGGGCACAUGGUUAGUUGUUGGUUUUGUUUGUUUUUUUUUCUUGAGCAGUGUUUUUUUGGUUAUUGAUUUAGGGAAAUAAUUACUGAAGGGUUUUCUACGGAGAUUUUUUUUUUUAAACAGAGAAAAUGUUUUAUUGCAAGAUUAAUGCCUUGGUUUUAAUAAAAUAUUGUAUGAGACGCAACCUAUGAUGAAAAUGACUAUUUCUUACUGUAUUUAUCCAACAUCUUAAUUUUCCCCUUUAAAGCUGCGGUCUCCUGUUUGCUAAAAGAAUAUUGGCCAGUAUUGCAGAUUUUAACUGAUUUGGCUGAUCCUCCAGGGACCAGUUUCUGUGGGCGUGUGUUGGAGCAGGUUUGUCUUACACUGUUAAAGAUACACUAUCCUUUUAGAACGGAAGAUCGGUUCAGUGGCCGUUGUAAUGACUGGAGGUAAUAACUGUCCUAGAAAAGUGGCAAAUUCCUUGGCACGAGAAAACCACGGAAACUAGUUUUUCCUCAAGUCGACAUCUUGAAGAGGCAUCUAAGGAUACACCGGGUGGGGAAAGGAUAGUGUGUCUUUAACCCUUCAAAUUGUUUGGUCCUGUUUUUUAAAAGGAAAGGGCCUGAGCUAGCUCUGGAGUUAGAUAACUGUAGCAAAAUUAGUCACAUUUUCGGUUUUGAAUGCUAAUUAGAGCUUAGUUAAUUCUUUAUGAAAAAGUAUUAGUUUUGUAACUUUUAUAGAACUUUGAAUAAUUGACUGUUGAACAGGCUGAAUUGAAGUUAAUGGUGGCUUGAUCUACAGCCUGGUGCUUAUUCUCCUUUGUAACUAAAUAUUUUGACCGAACCUUACAUUUGGCCUCCGAAGUAAAGCAACACACGGGGGGAGGUGGAACACUGUGGAAAUUUCUAAAAUUUAAAUAAAUUAGGCAAAGCCAGUUGAAACACAACUAGAAGUAUCACUGAAGUCAUCCACACCCAAAAUAGACAAGGUAGAAACCCGGCUGAACUUUUCUCUCUUCAAACCUAGAUGCUUCAGCUAAAUGAGAACCCAGAUAAAGGACGCCUUUGGGGGGAAAAGAUCGCUUGAGUCUUCAGCCCAUUGGAGAGACCCUGGCCGUGCAACCAGCUGUUGAAAAGGUUAUUUUGUAACAUUUUGUCUAACUUUUUACUUGUUUAAGUUGCGCCUCAAGUGGCAGAUUUUACAUUUUAUGUGCCAUUUUGUUGCUGUUAUUCAAAUUUCUUGUAAUUUAGUGAAGUGAACGACUACCGAUUUCAUUAUUGGCUUGGAUAUUUGAGGUAAAACUUCAUUUUUGUUUAUAUAGUGCUGACUUCUAUUGGAAAUUAAAAUUGAUGGUAUUUUGCUGCCUCCAGUUUCAUACUGAGGAAUCAUGCAGCCACUAUAUGCUGAUAGCUAACUGUCAAAAAGUACUCUCAAUUUUAUCUUGAUCCCUUAAAAUCUGCAAAACUUCAACUUGAAACUUACUGUAAAUGCUUUUUUUAAAAAGAAAGAAAAACUUAAAAUAGCAUCUUCAAAUGCAAAUUGGUAGAAAUCUUUUCAGGUGACAGUUGAUAUUUGCAAGGAUUGUUUUAUCAGACUCAAUUCUAAUCUCUUCUCUUAUGUAUUUUUGUGCACUAGGCGCAGUUGUGUAGCAGUUGAGUAAUGCUGGUUAGCUGUUAAGGUGGCGUGUUGCAGUGCAGAGUGCUUGGCUGUUUCCUGUUGUCUCCUGAUUGCUCCUGUGUAACGAUGCCUUGUCGUGCAGAAACAAAUGGCUGUCCAGUUAAUUAAAAUGCCUGACAACUGCACUUCCAGUCACCCGGGCCUUGCGUAAAAAAAAUGGAGCAUACAGUGAGCACAUCUAGCUGAUGAUAUACACACCUUAUUUUUUCCAGAAUGGUAAAACUUACCAACCUACAUAUAUGAACUUACAUAUGAGAAUUGUAAUGUUAAGCAAAAAAAUGGUUCAUUCCUUUGUAAGUACUGAUUGGUGUAUCUUUUGCUUAAGACAUUCUGUACUAUACCCACUGUCUCUGUAGUUAAUAUUAAACAUUUUUUUCUGUGUUAACUUUUCUCAACUUAAUGUCUUGGGUCAGCUUAUUUUUAGCUUGAAAAGAUUUCUGCAAUUAUACUGUCAAUGUUUAACUUCUAUAUAGUAACUAAAUGCAUUCUACUGCUUAUAAAAUUUAUCCACUGGGGUUGCUUUUAAAUUACUGUGGGCAAAGUUUAAUUAGCAUUGUUACUAACUCAAUGUUGUGUGGCAAGUAGUAACACACCAAGCCACCAACACAGAACCAGCCAGGUCCUGGGAUGGUGUUGUGGGAGGUCCACACUAAGCAGUACUAAUAAUUGCAUUGCUGUGUGCUUGCCCUGGCUCACCAGGCUGCUGCUUGAUGGGGGCUGAUCUUUACAGUGAUGAUUUCUCUUGAUUUGGUACCAAAUGACUUGUAACUUCAAACAUCCUGUGUCAAGGGUUAUUGUAAUGCCUUGUUUUAUUUUAUGCAUGUGUGUUAAAUGGGAAUGGAAACAUCUGAACACUGGCAGUAUGGCUUUGUUGAGGAUUAAAAGUACUUUUCUACAAA
Molecule: non-coding RNA, 3208 nt
Organism: Cyanistes caeruleus (blue tit)
Lineage: Eukaryota; Metazoa; Chordata; Aves; Passeriformes; Paridae
Source: RefSeq, a predicted model, not a curated record